This 1455-nucleotide long non-coding RNA is filed under the name Mytilus galloprovincialis (Mediterranean mussel). Lineage: Eukaryota; Metazoa; Mollusca; Bivalvia; Mytilida; Mytilidae. The record is from RNAcentral.
UGAAGUUUUCCAUUAGUUUGUAUGCCUUCUUAUGAAAAUUUGUAUUCUUAUAGUAAAUACUGUUAGAUAAAUGUGAUAUUUAAUGAUAACGAUGGUGAUGGCAUUAAGCGUAUAUGUACUUCUGUCCUUUGUUUUAUACAAGGGUGUUUGUAUCAGUGGACAUAGAUAGGGAUAAAAUUGGCUUUAUAUACAUUUGAGAAAUUACUACCAAAAUGUUAAGAAUGUGGAAACUUCAUGCAAACAAAAUACAAGAGUUUUAUUAUUUCUGGGAAUAGGUCGUUGAUAGUAUGAAAGAUAAGUGUACAAAACGCCUUUUAUCAUUUCUUUCAUUUGCAAUAUGUCUUUGUGGGCCUUAUAAGCAAUGAAUUGAACAAAACAUAUUUUGCUAAACAAAGCAGUUGCAAAACAAACAAACAAAUGAAAUACUUCAUAAUAAGAAAUGUGAUUAUAUACUUCAGUGAAUUUGAUAUGUAAUUAUUUUGAUAUUUUUGUUAUCCGACCCAAUGGAUAUUGUUAUUACUUUGAAGCAUUUGUCGUUUGCGUUAGGGAACGACCAUUUAACUUCAAGGGAGUAAUUGUUUGUUCCUAAAAAUAUAUUCUGAUCCCCAAUUUGAUGAAACAAAUGUUGUCGCCAAGCUGAAUCUGAUGACAAAAAACAACAAUCUUAAUCCAUUUUCCCUUACUUUGUAGUGUUACAUUUUGUAAAAGAAUUAAUUUUGUUUAAUGGCAUCGAAAAACUUUGAAAAAAAAUGUUCGUGAAAUUUUUGAUUUGACUAAGAAAAAUACCUUAGACAGGCCCAUAUCCAGAAUGGGGUUCAAUACGAUCAUACUCAACUUUUAACAGUAACAAUUCAAACAGAACGUCAACUUUACAAACAGUGCUUAUUUAUUUUCAAAGGGGUCCCCAGGCUACGGGUGUGAUCGAUUCCCCUGAAAGUUUAAUUGUUGAUCCCUUUUAUGUGAAUUUCGUUUCAGGAAUUUUGCAGGAUUUUUUUUCUAUCUUGAUUUGUAAUUUUGUUUUGUAUCUGCAGAAUACAUAUUUUACACCUAUUGACUGUUUAUGAGGAUUACAGCAAGUUUGUUAGCCUGAGAUACCGACUCUUACUCGAGGCGGAGCCGACGGCAAUACCUAAUAUCAAAUGACAACAAACUUGCUUUUACUCUCAUAACCGAUCUUUGAGUGAUUUAUUAUACCGAGCAAAACAACUUGCUAAAAAUGCGAAAAUUGUGACUAGUUCUAAAGGGUAUGAUUCAUUGAUAUGCAUAAAGUUGUAGAUUUUGUAAGAGAAGCGUUAGGCAUAUAUUCAAGUCUCUCAUAUUUUUGUAUUAUUUUUUAAUAAGCUAUGAUACUCACAUUUAUGGUUAUUCUAUUUGGAAUCAUAAUAUAUAUGCAUGUUUACAUUCUUUUUUUUAUUUAUUUUUCUGUGAUUAUUUUGAUAUUUUUGUUAUCCGACC